GCUGGGCAUGGUGGUGCAUGCCUGUAAUCCUAGCGGCUCAGGAGGCUGGGGCAGGAGGAUCACGAGUUCAAAGCCAGCCUUAGCACUGGCAAGGUGCUAAGCAACUCAGUGAGACUCUGUCUCUA
Molecule: small RNA, 125 nt
Filed under: Marmota monax (woodchuck)
Lineage: Eukaryota; Metazoa; Chordata; Mammalia; Rodentia; Sciuridae
Source: RNAcentral